CGGAGGAAAAGAAACCAACGGCGAGUGAAGCGGCAAAAGCUCAAAUUUGAAAUCUGGCACUUUCAGUGUCCGAGUUGUAAUUUGAAGAAGGUAUCUUUGGGUCUGGCUCUUGUCUAUGUUUCUUGGAACAGAACGUCACAGAGGGUGAGAAUCCCGUGCGAUGAGAUGUCCCAGACCUAUGUAAAGUUCCUUCGAAGAGUCGAGUUGUUUGGGAAUGCAGCUCUAAGUGGGUGGUAAAUUCCAUCUAAAGCUAAAUAUUGGCGAGAGACCGAUAGCGAACAAGUACAGUGAUGGAAAGAUGAAAAGAACUUUGAAAAGAGAGUGAAAAAGUACGUGAAAUUGUUGAAAGGGAAGGGCUUGAGAUCAGACUUGGUAUUUUGUAUGUUACUCUCUCGGGGGUGGCCUCUACAGUUUACCGGGCCAGCAUCAGUUUGAGCGGUAGGAUAAGUGCAAAGAAAUGUGGCACUGCUUCGGUAGUGUGUUAUAGUCUUUGUCGAUACUGCCAGCUUAGACUGAGGACUGCGGCUUCGGCCGAUCUUAAGUCGCCCGUCUUGAA
Molecule: ribosomal RNA, 556 nt
Filed under: Lodderomyces parapsilosis
Lineage: Eukaryota; Fungi; Ascomycota; Pichiomycetes; Serinales; Debaryomycetaceae
Description: Candida parapsilosis partial large subunit ribosomal RNA
Rfam family: Eukaryotic large subunit ribosomal RNA
Source: RNAcentral